UACGUAGGGUGCAAGCGUUGUCCGGAAUUAUUGGGCGUAAAGAGCUCGUAGGCGGUUUGUCGCGUCGAAUGUAAAAACCCGGGGCUCAACCCCGGGCCUGCAUUCGAUACGGGCAGACUAGAGUUCGGUAGGGGAGUCUGGAAUUCCUGGUGUAGCGGUGAAAUGCGCAGAUAUCAGGAGGAACACCGGUGGCGAAGGCGGGACUCUGGGCCGAUACUGACGCUGAGGAGCGAAAGCGUGGGGAGCGAACAGG
This 253-nucleotide ribosomal RNA is filed under the name uncultured bacterium. Its description in RNAcentral is "partial 16S ribosomal RNA". It matches the Rfam family "Bacterial small subunit ribosomal RNA", at positions 524 to 776 of the family's 1533-position model. The record is from RNAcentral.